This 1481-nucleotide long non-coding RNA is filed under the name Olea europaea subsp. europaea. The record is from RNAcentral. Lineage: Eukaryota; Viridiplantae; Streptophyta; Magnoliopsida; Lamiales; Oleaceae.
UACUCGUCAAAUCUUUAACCUCUCUCUACAAAAACAGCACUACGCUUUUGAAUUAUUUUUGNUUUUAAAAUACAAAAUGUUUGGUGGGUUGUAGAUUAAUUGUUAUGUUGUCUAUCUUCCAAAGAUGUGUAGUUUUAAAGUUCAUCGACUUUCACACUAAAGGAGAAGUGAAACUCUCUAGACUUCUAAGAUUUCUAGUUAGCACUAUGAACAAAGGGUUAGUUUGUGAAAGCACUUGGAUAUUACCUUUUAUACUUGGUGGUAAUGUAGGACGCAACCUCUAUAGAAAUAAAAAAGUUGCUAGUUUUAAAUUAACUGUAGCUGAACAUGAAUGAAAGGAUGAAUAUCUUCUUUAAUGUAGCAGAAAGUUUUCAUUUUUCCUAUUAAUCUGAUCUAAAAAAAUGUAGAGUUUUUGGUGACUUUGAAACUCCUUAUAUGUGGAUAACCUCUCUUUUAUUAAAUUUGACUAAUAAAAUAUUUCAAUAGAGGCCUUUUUUAUCUAGGAAAGGAGUAAUAGUAUUGGUAGUUUAUUGUAACCUUUGUCUCUUAGUUGCUUAUAAAAAAGCCAAAAAUGAGACCAUUAUUCAGUACCAGAAAAAUUGGAUGGACAAGUCCAUUAGAUUUGACCAAUGACAUGCAAAUUUUGAAAGUUUUUAAAACAUAGCUGAAUUUAAUUUCUUGAAAAUAUUUUUAAAUACAAGAUUCAACUUUAAACAAAGUUAUAUUCUUGAAUUCUUUAUUCAUUUACAACAUUGGGUUCGUUAGACUGGUGUUUAUAUAUAGUCACUUGUGUGUAUAUGCUAACUGAUUUUCAUGAUUUUGGGUUUUUGGAGGAGUAUAGGCUGAUUUAUUAUUAGGUCUUUGAUUCUUUCAUCCAGAGCACUGGGGUUCCUUGUGAUUGGUGUUUAUAUAAACUUGUGUAUCUUUAUGCCUAACUAGUUUUCAUAAUUUUGGUUUGUGGAGAAAUGAUUAUAUACUCUUCUGCUAUUAUGUAUUGAAUUCUUGAUUAAACCGCAUGGAUGGCUUUAGUUUCUGCUGUACCAAAAGUCUUGAGAUUUAUAUUUUUUCUAAAAAUAUUCUGGUAAUUUUUUGUUUUUGCCAAAUGAAGGACUGCAGACAUUGAAUACUUUGUGAAGAGAAUGGUGUUUGCUUUCUGAUUAUUUUAUUAAACACCAGAAGCGUAGACAAUAAAAAUUGUUCAAGAUUAAGAUUUGCAAGUUGGAUUGAUAUUGGACAGAUCACCUAAGAGAGGAAAAUCUUGAAUACUUGAUUGGUAAUCAAAAGAAGUUUUGUUUCUGUCGAGUUAAUUCAUAAUCCAAUUUUUCCAUAUCAAAAUUCAUAAAUUAUAUAACAAAAUAGUACACCCUAACACCAAAGAUAAAAGACCCUUACGUGAACUCUACAGUUAGUACAGUUAGAAGUUAGAAUUACAUGUUUAAGAUUCCGAAAUGGAAAAAAUACAAUAGGAAAAUUGGAAAGGG